CAUACUACGGUGAAUACGUUCCCGGGUCUUGUACACACCGCCCGUCACACCACGAAAGUUGGGGGUACCCGAAGCGACCUAUUUUGGGUUCUAAGGUAAACUCAGCGAUUGGGGUG
RNAcentral lists this ribosomal RNA (116 nucleotides) under uncultured bacterium. RNAcentral's name for it is "partial 16S ribosomal RNA". It matches the Rfam family "Bacterial small subunit ribosomal RNA", at positions 1353 to 1482 of the family's 1533-position model. The record is from RNAcentral.